UCUCUCUCUUCGACAACACUCUUCUUCUCUGACGAAAAAUCUCACCAGAGGUCCAGAAACCUCCAGUUCUUCCCAUCAAACCAAUUCGUCGGUCAUACAACGAAGCCGCGGAAGGUUUCUAGGUGCUGUUUUCAGUUUUUGCUUUGGAUAGGUGCUGUUUUCAGAUUUUGUGCAUCUUAUUUUCGAAGUGAUUCAUCGAUGCUUUGCACAUGUUCAAAUGAACAAGAGGAACAUAAAGGCAAAGAAGAACAGGCAGGUGACAAUUACCAACGAUGAAGAAGACGGUAAUGCCAUCGGGCUCAACAGACGGAGCUCCUUCAAGCUUGAGUCCAACAGAGGUUGCACCUCUCAACUUGAGUGGCAAAUGAAGAGCUAGAAGGAACAUCCACUGAUUCCCAAAGCCUCUAUGCAAGGGUGAGUGUAUAGCCCAUACACUACAAAUGUUGUUUAGUUGACUUAAAUUGGUUAUUGUAAUUGACUCAAAUUUGUUACAAGGUUUCAGGAGACUCUGGUUUUUUUUGGAUUUUAAGACAGAAAUAGUGAAUUUAAUUA
This is a long non-coding RNA of Malus domestica (apple), 552 nucleotides long. RefSeq lists it as uncharacterized. Lineage: Eukaryota; Viridiplantae; Streptophyta; Magnoliopsida; Rosales; Rosaceae. The record is from RefSeq and is a predicted model, not a curated record.